AACGCACAUUGCGCCCCUUGGUAUUCCGAGGGGCAUGCCUGUUCGAGCGUCAUUACAACCCUCAAGCAAUUGCUUGGUAUUGGGCUCCGCUGCUCACCCAGCGGGCCUUAAAAUCAGUGGCGGUGCCGUCAGGCCCUGAGCGUAGUAAACAUCCUCGCUAUAGGGACCUGGUGGACCUGGCCAGCAACCCCCCCAUUUUCUAAGUUUGACCUCGGAUCAGGUAGGGAUACCCGCUGAACUUAA
This 243-nucleotide unclassified non-coding RNA is filed under the name uncultured fungus. RNAcentral describes it as "sequence contains ITS2". The stretch from base 1 to 52 matches the Rfam family "5.8S ribosomal RNA", at positions 103 to 154 of the family's 154-position model. Lineage: Eukaryota; Fungi. The record is from RNAcentral.